This is a long non-coding RNA of Ictalurus punctatus (channel catfish), 1450 nucleotides long. The record is from Ensembl. Lineage: Eukaryota; Metazoa; Chordata; Actinopteri; Siluriformes; Ictaluridae.
UGUGUGUGUGUUGAGGUAAACAGAUGCCCAGUAAUAAAUCUCAUGCAACUUUUGAACACGGAGGUUGUUUGUUUCCGCCAUCUGUUCGCAACUCUGUGGGUCUCCAGAUGUAUCGCGACCUGCCCUGAACACUUCUGAUUGUGUAACGAGCUGAUAAUUAUAAACAGCAGCAGCUCCCAUUCAGUCCAGCUGCUAAUAUCACCAUGGUAAAGAAAAGAGUUUCAGCCCGGCAGUACGACACACGAAUCUAUGUCGGAUCACACAGCGGGGUUUUUUUUUUUUUCUAGCCUGGACUAGAGACGGGUAACGUUAAGGUUUUAACAGUAUUACUACUCUUACCGAUAGUGCCCGAUCGAUCCGGUACUUUAACGGUACUCUUAUCGGUACUCUGUGUCGUGUCACUGAGAUAUCUUCAGGACGGAGGGAUCUAUUUGGCGUCGAACGCCUUGCACAUAUCCGUACAGUAAUAAAAAAAACAGUUUUCGUUUGUUCCGUUAUCAUUAUGAAAUGAUUGCGUUUAUUGUUGUUUAUUGUAUUGUGGAGCGAUGGGACUAAUACACAACCCUUUUAUAAUACUACUACAUCCUACAAAUGAAUACAGCGAUAUACUGUGUAUACUGAAAGACCGUUAUGUAAAACAGCCGGACUCGGACGAGGGGUUUUAGGAGGAGUUGGGUGGUUCUUUAUAGCUGCAGCUUUAAACAUAAAUAACAAUAAAAAGCUAACAAUCGGCUGUGGCUGAUGUUUAGGUUUGAUCAUGAACCCGUGUUCACAUGGUUUCGUUAGCUCGGUGUGGGCUUAAAUCUGUAGCAUGGUGAUGAUGAUGAUAAGAGUGAGAUGCUGCCACGGAUCUCUGAAUGAACUACAGCUGAGCAGUGUAUAUUUUGUUUAUAACGUGAAGGAAAAACUCAAAUAAAUGAGCGGAGAAGGGAAUAUGCUUUCAGACGGGUGAGAAGAUUAAGCGGUUAAACUCCUAACAUAAGGAGGCUAGGCGUUGGAGCUGGGGAGACCCGUCACAUGGUGAAAUCUUCUGCUAGAUAUAGUUUAUAUUUCCGUCACAAGUUAUAAGGAAUGAAACACUCCGUGGUGUGCCGGUAUAGAAAAGCGUCGUCGACGUCGAUUAUUUUCCUAUAACUGCAUGUCCCAACGUGUUUACGUUUAAUACCGUGGAACGUUCACGUUUUUAUCCGUCUUGAAAAAAAAUUCGAACCCCCGGCCCUGGAGGCGCGAGGCAAGCGUGCUAACCGCUAAGCCAAGCAUGGUACAUAAUUAUAAUCAAAUGAUCAUCCGUUUGGUAUUUUAGGUAUUUUAGGUGCUAGUGUAAAGCGACGUCGGUAAUGUAACCUGCUGCUAAAUGGCACAUAUGUGAGAAGGGCGUGUCGUAUUUAACGGCCUCGUGACGGUUCAGCCAUCCCGGAUGUUAAAACUUUUGCACGUGCCCGUUCCUAAA